CUGGUUGACAGAGAACGAUAAGGACACCGACUUGUCAAUUAAUGGAUUUGGGGCACCAUAUCGACUUGAUCGAGAGAGAGAGUGCUGUAUCUCGUUGGGGGUGGGGGGGGCAGCUGCAGACUUCCCCCCCAGCUGAGGAAAUGGCCCUUGAUUUGAACCAAGGAAGGCCUGUGAUGGAAGGAUCUGUAUGUAACAGGACCCAGACGCAGUACAGUAUGACAGCCAGCCUGGCAACAUACUCCAAACUGACAAGUGACAGCACUAAAAU
Molecule: long non-coding RNA, 268 nt
Organism: Esox lucius (northern pike)
Lineage: Eukaryota; Metazoa; Chordata; Actinopteri; Esociformes; Esocidae
Exons: 3
Source: RefSeq, a predicted model, not a curated record